Molecule: ribosomal RNA, 440 nt
Filed under: uncultured bacterium
Lineage: Bacteria
Description: partial 16S ribosomal RNA
Rfam family: Bacterial small subunit ribosomal RNA
Source: RNAcentral
CCUACGGGAGGCAGCAGUAGGGAAUAUUGCUCAAUGAGGGAAACCCUGAAGCAGCAACGCCGCGUGGAGGAUGAAGGUUUUCGGAUUGUAAACCCCUUUUGUUAGAGAAGAAAAUGACGGUAUCUGACGAAUAAGCACCGGCUAACUCCGUGCCAGCAGCCGCGGUAAUACGGAGGGUGCAAGCGUUACUCGGAAUUACUGGGCGUAAAGGGCGCGUAGGCGGGAUAGCAAGUCAGAUGUGAAAUCCUAUGGCUUAACCCUAGAACUGCAUUUGAAACUGUCAGUCUUGAGUAUAGGAGAGGUAGGUGGAAUUCUUGGUGUAGCGGUGAAAUGCGUAGAGAUCAAGAGGAAUACUGAUUGCGAAGGCGACCUGCUAGAACAUAACUGACGUUGAUGCGCGAAAGCGUGGGGAGCAAACAGGAUUAGAUACCCGAGUAGUC